UUGAAUUACCAGUUCCCAUAUGAUCACCAAAGUUAAGCAAUUUCAAGCCUUGUCAGUACUUAGAUGGGUGACCACUUGGGAAUACCAGGUGCUGUAA
Acanthosepion pharaonis is the source of this 97-nucleotide non-coding RNA. The record is from the annotation of a GenBank genome assembly. NCBI's taxonomy places the organism in Eukaryota, Metazoa, Mollusca, Cephalopoda, Sepiida, Sepiidae.